AUUAUUGCAUAUAUUUCUCUGGUGUAUUUUGGUGUCGUGGUUUAAAAACAAAUACUUUAUAGUGAGUGCGUGUAAAAAGUAUUUUGAUCGUAUGUGCUUGCAUUUAGUGGAAUUAGUAUGACCCCGUAACAGUAAAUGUGCGUUAACAUCAUUGUUACAUGACUAACUGGAAUGUAUGAGCAACAGCAUGCUGACAAUUCAUCAGACGAAGAAACUUUCGAGGAGGACGCGUCGCUUUCUAAUCCUCUGCUUAAAACGGAAGAAGCGAGUUUUUGCAUGAGAUGUUCAGAAGGCAGGAGUAGUAGACACUUGUGUGUGAGCGUCAAUAACGUAUGUGCUUCGAGCGCGGAAGACACGAAUGACAAAAAUCUUUUUUCUAAUGGCGACAGCAACAUCACAACAUUCACACCUUGUGAGACAACACACUGUCAUCAUGUUUCAUCGCAACCUUAUACUUCAUCAGAAUGCAGAAAACUGUUGUUGGCUACUGGCAUGUGCGUUGUCUUCAUGGUUGCAGAAAUAAUAGGUGGCUAUGCAGCUGGGAGCUUAGCUGUCAUGACAGAUGCAGUGCAUCUUAUGUCUGAUGUUGUUGCAUUCCUUGUGAGUUUAUUUGCUAUCUGGUUGAGCAGACAUUCUCCUACAAGGAAAUUUACUUUUGGAUUCUUCAGGGCAGAAAUUUUAUGUGCCCUUGCAAGCAUACUGCUCAUAUGGUUAAUAACUGCAGUUUUUGUGUACUUGGCAGUACAUCGAAUGUUAAGUGGGAAAUAUGCAAUAAAAACACAAACAAUGAUGCUGGUAGCAGGAUUAGGAAUUGUGGUAAAUGCAAUCAUGGGAUUGGUGCUGCAUGGAUCCUGUAACAGUCUCAGAGGUGCACACGGGCACACCCACAGUGAAUUCAGCCAUAGCAGAUCUGGCAUAAACGUCAGGGCAGCAGUGAUACAUGUAAUUGGAGACUUGCUCCAGAGCAUAGGUGUUUUUGUAUCAGCAGUUGUAAUACAUUUUUAUACCACUUUGUGAUAUAAACUGGAAGCUGCCACUUACCACAGAGUCCAGGCAGGGUGACAUGACUAGCUGACAUGAAAAAAUAAAAGCUUGUUUAUGAACCAGCAAGAACUAUGCAUCCACGAUCUGUGUGCCUGGGGCGAAGAUAGCUGAUCCCUUAUGUACAUUUGUGUUUUCCAUUCUGGUAUUGACAACAACUGUGUCAGUAUUCAUGGAAACAGUGCGUAUUCUCUUGGAGGGUUUUCCAAAGCAUCUAAAUUAUGAAACAAUU
RNAcentral lists this unclassified non-coding RNA (1273 nucleotides) under Schistocerca americana (American grasshopper). RNAcentral's name for it is "zinc transporter 2-like, transcript variant X2". Lineage: Eukaryota; Metazoa; Arthropoda; Insecta; Orthoptera; Acrididae. The record is from RNAcentral.